Molecule: ribosomal RNA, 867 nt
Filed under: Aceria pallida
Lineage: Eukaryota; Metazoa; Arthropoda; Arachnida; Trombidiformes; Eriophyidae
Also listed under: 1 other name
Description: partial large subunit ribosomal RNA
Rfam family: Eukaryotic large subunit ribosomal RNA
Source: RNAcentral
AAAUAGAACUUUGCAGAGAGAGUUAACAGGGCGUGAAACCGUUAAUUGGCAAACGAAUCGGAGCCACGAAGUCGUUUCGUUGUUUAGUUGGGUCAGGUUCAGCGGGCGUCGCAAGGCGCCCGUGUACUCCUAGAUCCGUCCAAACCUUGUAAGCGUACACUGCAACCAGUUAGACGAUCAGAGAUGGGCACAGUGUCUCGGGCUAGUAGUAGUGCGGUUGGGCUUCGGCUUUUCUCGUGUUGCUGGGCUCGUGGCAAGUGAACUAUCACUGAAUACUGACUGGCUAAAUGAAAAUCGCGCUAGUCGCGUUAGAGACAACGCUAUUGGCCGCAUUUGUGUCUACACGUUCGACUGUUGAGUCUAAGCUCGGCGCUCUCGAAUUCAGACUUGCUUGCUAUCAGUGGGGCAACUCCUGGUGCUUGUAUAGUUUCUGUCUAAUCGGGCGUCGACUUGGCUUGGCAUUGUUCGUGGCGUGCAUCGUUAGGAUGCGAAUGCGAGCUAACAAGCAAUGUGAAUUGGCAGUGAGUAGGUCGGCUUUCCGAACGACCCGUCUUGAAACACGGACCAAGGAGUCUAAUUAGGCAUCGAGUCGAUCGGUCUUGAAUAGGCCAGACAGGGCCCCCUGGCUCGAGAAGGCGUAGAGAUCGUGUGAUCGUGGUGGUAACAACAACCAUUGCGCGCAACAUGUGCCUGUUCGUAUAGCAAUGUUGCAUUGCUGGGCGGAGCAAAGAGAUGCCUGAUUGGGACCCGAAAGAUGGUGAUGCUUGGGCAAAUUGAAGCCAGAGGAAACUCUGGUGGAGGAUUUAGUCUGACGUGCAAAUCGAUCGUCAGACCUGAGUAUAGGGGCGAAAGACUAAUCGAACCAUC